GACGAACGCUGGCGGCAUGCCUAAUACAUGCAAGUUGAACGAUGAUAUUCUCUGCUUGCUGAGAAUUGAAGAGUAGCGAACGGGUGAGUAACACGUGGGGAACCUGCCCAUGAGAGGGGGAUAACAUUCGGAAACGGAUGCUAAUACCGCAUAAUGCUUUGGACCGCCUGGUCCAGAGACGAAAGACGGCUUUUGCUGUCACUCAUGGAUGGCCCCGCGCCGUAUUAGCUAGUUGGUGAGGUAAUGGCUCACCAAAGCUGUGAUACGUAGCCGCUCUGAGAGGGUGAUUGGCCAGCCUGUCACUGAGAAACGGCCCAGACUCCUACGGGAGGCAGCAGUAGGGAAUCUUCCGCGAUGGGCGAAAGCCUGAUGGAGCAAUGCCGCGUGAAUGAAGAAGGUCUUCGGAUCGUAAAGUUCUGUUAUUAGUGAAGAACAAGUCAAGUAGUAACUGUCUUGACUUUGACGGUACCUAAACAGAAAGUCACGGCUAACUACGUG
RNAcentral lists this ribosomal RNA (498 nucleotides) under uncultured bacterium. RNAcentral's name for it is "partial 16S ribosomal RNA". It matches the Rfam family "Bacterial small subunit ribosomal RNA", at positions 28 to 507 of the family's 1533-position model. The record is from RNAcentral.